Molecule: long non-coding RNA, 415 nt
Organism: Mauremys mutica (yellowpond turtle)
Lineage: Eukaryota; Metazoa; Chordata; Testudines; Geoemydidae
Exons: 4
Source: RefSeq, a predicted model, not a curated record
CCUCCUAAGGGGAAAACAGGAUGGCAUACAGAAGAGUCAUUGCAAAUCUGAGCUUCCAGUUGCUGCCAAUAAGUACUUUUUUCUGCUGUAAUAGAGCUACUUUGGAACUGUUUCAAAGAACAGACCUUCAUCUCUGCUGUUUCCAGGUAGCCUAAUAGCAGCAAAGAGCCUUAUCCUGAAGACAUCCCAGAAACACACAACUACACUCUAGACCCCUUUGUAGACCUGGCAUCUGAGGCCUCACCCCUCCACUGGGGACCAUGUGAGAGAAAGCUGCUACCAGUUAACAUAACUGAGGUGGAUAACUUGGAAGAGGAGGUUUCCCCAUUUAAACAGGUUUAGGGAACUGAAUGUGUUUACCAUGAGACUGGUAACCACAGGAUACACCGCAGAACAUGGGAGUCAUGAUUUGGGC